CACUUUCAAAGGACAGCAGCAGCCCUUAA
This 29-nucleotide transfer RNA is filed under the name Hemidactylus fasciatus (banded leaf-toed gecko). Its description in RNAcentral is "partial tRNA-Leu". The record is from RNAcentral. Lineage: Eukaryota; Metazoa; Chordata; Lepidosauria; Squamata; Gekkonidae.